This 460-nucleotide ribosomal RNA is filed under the name uncultured bacterium. RNAcentral describes it as "bacterial SSU rRNA". It matches the Rfam family "Bacterial small subunit ribosomal RNA", at positions 28 to 496 of the family's 1533-position model. The record is from RNAcentral.
GAUGAACGCUGGCGGCGUGCUUAACACAUGCAAGUCGAACGGGAUCCCAGGAGCUUGCUCCUGGGUGAGAGUGGCGAACGGGUGAGUAAUGCGUGACCGACCUGCCCCAUACACCGGAAUAGCUCCUGGAAACGGGUGGUAAUGCCGGAUGCUCCAGUUGACCGCAUGGUCCUCUGGGAAAGAUUCAUCGGUAUGGGAUGGGGUCGCGUCCUAUCAGCUUGAUGGCGGGGUAACGGCCCACCAUGGCUUCGACGGGUAGCCGGCCUGAGAGGGCGACCGGCCACAUUGGGACUGAGAUACGGCCCAGACUCCUACGGGAGGCAGCAGUGGGGAAUAUUGCACAAUGGGCGCAAGCCUGAUGCAGCGACGCCGCGUGCGGGAUGACGGCCUUCGGGUUGUAAACCGCUUUUGACUGGGAGCAAGCCCUUCGGGGUGAGUGUACCUUUCGAAUAAGCACCGG